UACGGAGGGUGCAAGCGUUAUCCGGAUUCACUGGGUUUAAAGGGUGCGUAGGUGGGCAGGUAAGUCAGUGGUGAAAUCUCCGGGCUUAACCCGGAACUGCCGUUGAUACUAUCUGUCUUGAAUAUAGAGGAGGUGAGCGGAAUAUGUCAUGUAGCGGUGAAAUGCUUAGAUAUGACAUAGAACAUCGAUUGCGAAGGCAGCUCGCUACACAUAUAUUGACUCUGAGGCACGAAAGCGUGGGGAUCAAACAGGG
Molecule: ribosomal RNA, 253 nt
Filed under: uncultured bacterium
Lineage: Bacteria
Description: partial 16S ribosomal RNA
Rfam family: Bacterial small subunit ribosomal RNA
Source: RNAcentral